UGCAGGCACGUUCAGAUCCCCCUCCAUCCGAAAAUAUUAGUGCCACAGCUUGGCACAGGAUGGUUGUAACAAUCUCUAGAAUCAUAAAUAUCAGGCAGUCAGCUAAGAUCAGCUCAUUUGCAUUAAAAAGCUGAUGAAACAGCUCAGCACAGCCACCAAAAAUUGCAUCACAGGCCAGUUAUAGCGAAUUCACUUCGGGAGCCACCAAAAAUCAACAAUGUGAGCGACUUGAUACUUGGGUUAAAAAGGGCUACAAAAUGGUGCACAUCAAAACACAGAGACAGCACCGAUCCCAGGGAGGGCAUCACCAAAACCAGCCCUCCAGGAUCAAAACAAGCAGCGAAAGGGAUCCGUCUAAAAGCAAGGCAGAAGGGAGGUUUCGGCUCGGCUUUUGGGAUGUCACGAGCGGGGAGAGGAGAGAGAAAGUUCCCCGAGAUGUGGGGCUGGAAGGAGCAGGGGCAGGAGAUGGGAAGGCAGGGGAUCAGAGGCGGGCAACGGGGAGAAAGGAGGAAAAGUUGGGAGGCACGGAAAGGGAAGGAAAAGGCGAGUUGCAGGGAGGAUACUAUCCAGGAAGAAAGCGGAGGGAGGGGCGAGGCGAGACAGACAGCGAUGGAGGGGGAACCAGAGGGGCAUGGGAGAGUUGGCUGCUCCAGGCAGGGCCUACUCCGAGGGCUCAUCCAACAGAAGCUCUGCUAAAAAUGGCUGCUUUGCUUCCACUGCCCCUUCCCCCUCCCCCAGAGCUCGGCUCCCUUCCCUCCGUGUCCCCGGGCGGCUGCGAGCCCGGGGCCGCCACUCACCAGGCAGAAGAGGAAGUCAGAACGUUUUUCUCGUCUUCUGGAGCUCCACCGGGGGGGUAAAGCCACGGUGGAAGGGGAGAACAGAAAGAGGGAGGUGAUGCCAAGCAAGAGAAGUAGGAAAACAUAAAUAAUCCAGCGGGGGCAAUUAAUCCAGAACCCCCCCUCCUCUUCCUCCUGUUCCUUUAGUCAUCAGAUGAGAAAGGGGCAAA
This is a long non-coding RNA of Neopelma chrysocephalum (saffron-crested tyrant-manakin), 1006 nucleotides long. RefSeq lists it as uncharacterized. NCBI's taxonomy places the organism in Eukaryota, Metazoa, Chordata, Aves, Passeriformes, Pipridae. The record is from RefSeq and is a predicted model, not a curated record. The transcript is spliced from 3 exons.